This 533-nucleotide ribosomal RNA is filed under the name bacterium. Its description in RNAcentral is "bacterial SSU rRNA". It matches the Rfam family "Bacterial small subunit ribosomal RNA", at positions 361 to 886 of the family's 1533-position model. The record is from RNAcentral.
AUUUUGGACAAUGGGGGCACCCCUGAUCCAGCAAUGCCGCGUGAGUGAAGAAGGCCUUCGGGUUGUAAAGCUCUUUUGUCAGGGAAGAAACGGUGAGAGCUAAUAUCUCUUGCUAAUGACGGUACCUGAAGAAUAAGCACCGGCUAACUACGUGCCAGCAGCCGCGGUAAUACGUAGGGUGCAAGCGUUAAUCGGAAUUACUGGGCGUAAAGCGUGCGCAGGCGGUUAUACAAGACAGAUGUGAAAUCCCCGGGCUCAACCUGGGAAUUGCAUUUGUGACUGUAUGGCUAGAGUGUGUCAGAGGGGGGUAGAAUUCCACGUGUAGCAGUGAAAUGCGUAGAUAUGUGGAGGAAUACCGAUGGCGAAGGCAGCCCCCUGGGAUAACACUGACGCUCAUGCACGAAAGCGUGGGGAGCAAACAGGAUUAGAUACCCUGGUAGUCCACGCCCUAAACGAUGUCUACUAGUUGUCGGGUCUUAAUUGACUGUGGUAACGCAGCUAACGCGUGAAGUAGACCGCCGGGGGAGUACGGU